AGUGACAACUUCGACGACGCCGUUAAAGAAGACUGCAAUGAAGAUGAUGACACAAGACAUGAAAUGUAUAAUAAACAAAUAGAUGGUUUUGUGGAUUAUGAGAAGAAAGUCUGUGCCGAUCCAAGUACUUCAGGCAGAUGCGCAAGAAUUGCAGAAACACUACAAUGCGUGUUCUCUCUUUUGAAUCAACUGAAGCAAAAGGGAAAAUGCAAACUCGGAGGAAAAGUGAAAAAUGUGGUGCAGGUCUAAUGAUGAGAAAGAAUCCCAUCACUUUUUCAUGUAACCUAUGAAUUUUUUGUUAAUUGUCUUUUUAUUUUACAAAAAUU
This is a long non-coding RNA of Argiope bruennichi, 326 nucleotides long. RefSeq lists it as uncharacterized. The transcript has 4 exons. NCBI's taxonomy places the organism in Eukaryota, Metazoa, Arthropoda, Arachnida, Araneae, Araneidae. The record is from RefSeq and is a predicted model, not a curated record.